This is a long non-coding RNA of Pleuronectes platessa (European plaice), 585 nucleotides long. RefSeq lists it as uncharacterized. The transcript is spliced from 5 exons. NCBI's taxonomy places the organism in Eukaryota, Metazoa, Chordata, Actinopteri, Pleuronectiformes, Pleuronectidae. The record is from RefSeq and is a predicted model, not a curated record.
GUCGGCGCUACGACAGUUGAAAGUUGUUGUGCAGUAGCAGUUUGGCGAAGGUGAAAGAGGCAGAGAGGAAGAGGAAGAGAAAGUGGAACCCCCCCGAAAGACUUUGACGGUCUCCCUCCCUGACUCUGGUCCUGCAAGAGGAAGACAAGUGCUUCCUCGCUGUGGGGAUUGUGUGAUUCCCUAUACUAUUGGCCUGUCAUGGCUGCUCUCCAACAGGCCUCCUGUGUCUGGAUUAAUCUCCCUGGUUGACUGCUGAUUUGAAGUGAGGCACUGCAUGCAGAGCUGGAUGAUGCAGAGCAGAGGAUCCUGUUGCAUGUCAAUGAACUGGGCUAAACAUGCAUGACAAGUGAUGCUGUGUGAAUGGAGGAAGCUAAGAGGGAGUCAACCCCACGGUCAGAGAGAGACCUGUGUGUAAUCUGCAGAAGAUGCAUGCAAUACACCGACACACUACUUUAUCUGCAAGGCCCCUAAUUGAGAGGGAUGCUGGCGAACACAUGUUGGGAAAAGAGGAGAGGAAAGAGGGUGUCAGAUGUCAGCAAUGUGCAGGCAUAUGGUUCCUUCAAGUUCGGUUACAUAAACUGAAAA